RNAcentral lists this unclassified non-coding RNA (268 nucleotides) under Funneliformis mosseae. RNAcentral's name for it is "partial contains 5.8S ribosomal RNA and internal transcribed spacer 2". The stretch from base 1 to 71 matches the Rfam family "5.8S ribosomal RNA", at positions 84 to 154 of the family's 154-position model. The record is from RNAcentral. Lineage: Eukaryota; Fungi; Glomeromycota; Glomeromycetes; Glomerales; Glomeraceae.
GUGAAUCAUCGAAUUUUUGAACGCAAAUUGCACUCCCUGGUAUUCCGGGGAGUAUGCCUGUUUGAGGGUCGUUAGAAUAAAAAAUCGAGGCGUCGCGCUUUUUUUUAGGGGUGAGCGCGUCGGAAUUGAGCCGGCUUUCAAAUGUUAAUUCAUGUCAAAGUGGGUUAAAAUUCAUCCAUCCGGUACGAUUAAAGCGUAUUUAAGAUAAACUUUGAUUAAGAACGGGCGAUGAAGUACCAUAUGAAGUAGUACGUUUGACCUGGGUCAU